ACUCCUAGCGGGGAGGCAGCAGGUGGGGAAUAUUGGACAAUGGGGGGAAACCCUGAUCCAGCCAUGCCGCGUGUGUGAAGAAAGGCCCUUCGGGGUUGUAAAGCACUUUCAGUGGGGAGGAAAGGUUGAUGGUUAAUACCUAUCAGCUGUGACGUUACCCACAGAAGAAGCACCGGCUAACUCCGUGCCAGCAGCCGCGGUAAUACGGAGGGUGCAAGCGUUAAUCGGAAUUACUGGGCGUAAAGCGUGCGCAGGCGGUCUGUUAAGCGAGAUGUGAAAGCCCCGGGCUCAACCUGGGAACUGCAUUUCGAACUGGCAGACUAGAGUCUUGUAGAGGGGGUAGAAUUCCAGGUGGUAGCGGUGAAAUGCGUAGA
RNAcentral lists this ribosomal RNA (374 nucleotides) under uncultured bacterium. RNAcentral describes it as "bacterial SSU rRNA". It matches the Rfam family "Bacterial small subunit ribosomal RNA", at positions 335 to 694 of the family's 1533-position model. The record is from RNAcentral.